UAUUUCGGAUACGGAUUUUCGGAUAUUUCGGAUUCAGUUUCGGAUCCGGAUUUUUUUGAACACCCCUAGCUGCAGCCCAAGACUCGAUACCCCGCAAGAGGAACCGUCACCAUGACAACAAGAAGAGGAAUCUGAACUGGAUCUCGAUGAGUCUAAGUGAAGCGAAACCCCGAUGUUUGGUCACACUAUGACUUGUGCAACAUGGCGAAUGGUGCAAAAAAAGCGCGUUGCCAUUAUUGUCAAAACUUUUACGCCAACGGCGCAAACUCCACUUGGAAACAACACGUCGACAAACCAUAUUUCAAGGUGUGGAAACAACAAUCGGUAGUGGUCAAGCUUCGAUGGAAAUUGAAGGCGCUACUUUGUUCGCCUACAAGUGAAGGUUUUUUCAAUAACUUUUGAUAACACCUCAAAAUACGGUUUCGGUAAUGCAUUUAAAAUUAAAAUUUAAACCGAUUGAUUUAUGACGGGAUUUUUUUUCUAGAGUCGAUGUGUUGCACACAUCAUAAAUCUGGCUGUUCAAGACAGUAUAAAAGUUACUGAAUCACAAAAAGAUGCUUUCAAAAGAAUUGGUUGAUUUAGUUAAAGGUGUACUCGAGAAUGUAGGAGUGGCAAUGGUAGAGAGUUUUACCGUGGUGUAAUGAUAAGUGUUAUUAAGAGUCAUCCGACAAUUUCUUGGACACCUUGUGUCGUUCACUCCAUAGAAUUUCAUUUUAUAGAGUUAAAAACACUAGCAUGGAUUGAUGUUGUGAUUAAAAAAGCCAAAACCAUAUCAAGAUUUAUGUAUAGCCACCCAACUAUACUAGAGUUCGUAAAGGAGAACACAAAUGCAACCGAUUUUGUGAUGUAGGGACCCACAAACAUCUCUACAGACUUUUUUGCAUUGAAACAAAUGCUUACCCUUAGGGAGAAGCUCAAAUCAACUGUUAAAACCUUUACAGGGGUGGAUAAUAUAGAUUGUAAAUCUGAUAAUGGUGUUGCUACAAAAGCUGCCAUUCUAAAUGAGUCUUUUUGGGUGGAAAUUACUGCGAUUGUCUCGAUCACAUAACUGUUUUUGAAUAUCUACAAUCUCCUACAAAAAGAUACAAAUCUAGGACAAAUCGGUGCAGCCAUUUACAUGGCCAAGAAAGAAAUGAAAAAAGCUAAAAACCAUAUCAGUUUGUGGAAUAUGAUAGAUGAUGCGUUCACAUAACUCAAACUGUAUACACCAACACUUUAUAUGAGCAAGGAUUUUUAGAAAUGCGACGGAUUCAGUCCAGACCUAUGUUAUGUCACAGUUUGUAGCUUAUAAGAAAAGAGGUGGUGCCUUUGGAUCUGUUUUGGCAAAGAAAUCCACCCUCAACGCAGGAAUUAGAUCGAGAUAUAACAAAAAUUGAGAAUCAAGUAGAAGAUGGGAAAAGCGAUGGUUGUUCUCUUUUAUUACACGAGUAUUUGUCUGAGGGUCAGAACAUUGAAAGAUCCAUUAUUGUGUCUAUUUUUUGCAAGGGUAUAUCACUUGUCCUUGACAACUCCAGUGAUUGUAAGAUCCAAUCAGAUCAACAAUUGAUUGAUUUAGUUAAAGGUGAGAAUGUAGGAGUAUAAGUGUUUUUCAGAUUUUCUCUAAUGGUGAAGAGUUUUACUGUGGUGUAA
Long non-coding RNA from Helianthus annuus (common sunflower), 1629 nucleotides. RefSeq lists it as uncharacterized. Lineage: Eukaryota; Viridiplantae; Streptophyta; Magnoliopsida; Asterales; Asteraceae. The transcript has 2 exons. The record is from RefSeq and is a predicted model, not a curated record.